UUCCGUUUUGACAGCGAGAGGCAUGAUGGGAGAUGUAGUGUGAUUGUCUACCAUAUAAAACAAUAUGAACUCCAUUCGUCUUCCUCUUUACUAAGCGAGCCUGGGCGAGGCGCUGUAAGCAACCAUGCCCGUUGCCAGAAGUUGGGUUUGUCGCAAGACCUAUGUUACUCCUCGCCGUCCGUUCGAGAAGUCUCGUCUCGACCAGGAGUUAAAGCUUAUUGGCGAGUAUGGUCUGAGGAACAAGCGUGAGGUGUGGAGGGUCAAGUUUACCCUGGCUAAGAUCCGUAAGGCUGCCAGAGAGCUUCUCACUCUGGACGAGAAGGACCCCAAGCGUCUGUUUGAAGGUAAUGCCUUGCUCAGGCGUCUGGUGAGGAUUGGUGUGCUGGAUGAGGGUAAGAUGAAGCUCGAUUAUAUCCUGGGCCUGAAGGUUGAGGAUUUCUUGGAGAGGAGGCUGCAGACUCAGGUCUUCAAGCUCGGACUUGCCAAGAGUAUCCACCAUGCCCGUGUCCUGAUCCGCCAGAGGCACAUUCGAGGACCCCCAUGCUGUAGCACUCUGCGUUGAGAGCACUUAAUCAUUUCAGCAAGGUCAAUUCGGUAUCAAAGCCGUAUACCUUGUCGGUAGUUAUUGCCCAGAGCCAAUCCUGCCAUCUGUGGGCUCAGGAUGCUCCAAUAUGUGGUGGCGGCUGUGAGUGUGCGCAAACAGGUGGUGAACAUCCCCUCCUUUGUGGUUCGCCUGGACAGCCAGAAGCACAUCGACUUCUCCCUGAGGUCACCAUACGGCGGUGGACGUCCUGGCCGCGUCAAGAGAAAGAACGCCAAGAAGGGUCA
Molecule: RNA transcript, 828 nt
Organism: Cyprinodon tularosa
Lineage: Eukaryota; Metazoa; Chordata; Actinopteri; Cyprinodontiformes; Cyprinodontidae
Gene: rps9
Gene name: ribosomal protein S9
Exons: 6
Source: RefSeq, a predicted model, not a curated record